This 377-nucleotide ribosomal RNA is filed under the name uncultured bacterium. RNAcentral describes it as "partial 16S ribosomal RNA". It matches the Rfam family "Bacterial small subunit ribosomal RNA", at positions 338 to 732 of the family's 1533-position model. The record is from RNAcentral.
CCUACGGGUGGCAGCAGUGGGGAAUAUUGCACAAUGGGGGAAAGCCUGAUGCAGCGACGCCGCGUGAAGGAAGAAGUACCUCGGUAUGUAAACUUCUAUCAGCAGGGAAGAAAAUGACGGUACCUGACUAAGAAGCCCCGGCCAAAUACGUGCCAGCAGCCGCGGUAAUACGUCGGGCGCAAGCGGUAACCGGAUUUACUGGGGGUAAAGGGAGCGGAGACGGGAGGGCAAGGCUGAUGGGAAGGGCUGGGGGGUAACCCCAGGACCGCAUUGGAAACUGGCGUUCUAGAGUGCCGGAGAGGUAAGCGGAAUUCCUAGUGUAGCGGUGAAAUGCGUAGAUAUUAGGAGGAACACCAGUGGCGAAGGCAGCUUACUGG